RNAcentral lists this ribosomal RNA (477 nucleotides) under uncultured Methanolinea sp. RNAcentral's name for it is "bacterial SSU rRNA". It matches the Rfam family "Archaeal small subunit ribosomal RNA", at positions 861 to 1338 of the family's 1478-position model. The record is from RNAcentral. Lineage: Archaea; Methanobacteriati; Methanobacteriota; Methanomicrobia; Methanomicrobiales; Methanoregulaceae.
GGAAUUGACGGGGAGCACCACAACGGGUGGAGCUUGCGGUUUAAUUGGAUUCAACGCCGGAAAUCUUACCGGGACCGACAGCAAUAUGAAGGCCGGGCUGAAGACUUUGCCGGAUUAGCUGAGAGGUGGUGCAUGGCCGUCGUCAGUUCGUACUGUGAAGCAUCCUGUUAAGUCAGGCAACGAGCGAGACCCACGCCCACAGUUGCCAGCGUACUCUCUGGAGUGACGGGUACACUGUGGGGACCGCCGCUGCUAAAGCGGAGGAAGGAAUGGGCAACGGUAGGUCAGUAUGCCCCGAAUAUCCCGGGCUACACGCGGGCUACAAUGGUCAGGACAAUGGGUAUCAACACCGAAAGGUGAAGGCAAUCUCCUAAACCUGUCCUUAGUUCGGAUUGUGGGCUGCAACUCGCCCACAUGAAGCUGGAAUCUGUAGUAAUCGCGUCUCAACAUGGCGCGGUGAAUAUGUCCCUGCUCCUU